CCUACGGGAGGCAGCAGUGGGGAAUUUUGCGCAAUGGGGGAAACCCUGACGCAGCAACGCCGCGUGAGUGAUGAAGGCCUUCGGGUCGUAAGGCUCUUUUAGUGGGGAAGAAUCCCACCCGGGUUAAUACCUCGGGUGUCUGACGGUACCCACAGAAAAAGUUCCGGCUAACUACGUGCCAGCAGCCGCGGUAAUACGUAGGGAGCAAGCGUUGUUCGGAAUUAUUGGGCGUAAAGAGCGCGUAGGCGGUUCGGUAAGUCUGACGUGAAAUCCCGGAGCUCAACUCCGGAACUGCGUUGGAUACUGCCGAGCUUGAGUGUGGGAGAGGAGAGUGGAAUUCCCAGUGUAGAGGUGAAAUUCGUAGAUAUUGGGAGGAACACCCGUGGCGAAGGCGGCUCUCUGGACCACAACUGACGCUGAGGCGCGAAAGCUAGGGUAGCAAACGGGAUUAGAUACCCCGGUAGUCCUAGCCGUAAACGAUGGGCACUAGGUGUUGGAGGUAUCGACCCCUCCAGUGCCGCAGCUAACGCAUUAAGUGCCCCGCCUGGGGAGUACGGUCGCAAGACUAAAACUAAAGGAAUUGACGG
RNAcentral lists this ribosomal RNA (587 nucleotides) under uncultured bacterium. RNAcentral describes it as "bacterial SSU rRNA". It matches the Rfam family "Bacterial small subunit ribosomal RNA", at positions 338 to 916 of the family's 1533-position model. The record is from RNAcentral.